RNAcentral lists this ribosomal RNA (552 nucleotides) under Papiliotrema flavescens. RNAcentral describes it as "eukaryotic LSU rRNA". It matches the Rfam family "Eukaryotic large subunit ribosomal RNA", at positions 88 to 629 of the family's 3401-position model. The record is from RNAcentral. Lineage: Eukaryota; Fungi; Basidiomycota; Tremellomycetes; Tremellales; Rhynchogastremaceae.
GGCGAGUGAACCGGGAAGAGCUCAAAUUUGAAAUCUGGCGUGCUCAGUGCGUCCGAGUUGUAAUCUAUAGAGUCGUUUUCCGUGCCGGACUGUGUCCAAGUCCCUUGGAACAGGGUAUCAAAGAGGGUGAUAAUCCCGUACUUGACACAAUGACCGGUGCUCUGUGAUACGUCUUCUACGAGUCGAGUUGUUUGGGAAUGCAGCUCAAAAUGGGUGGUGAGUUCCAUCUAAAGCUAAAUAUUGGCGAGAGACCGAUAGCGAACAAGUACCGUGAGGGAAAGAUGAAAAGCACUUUGGAAAGAGAGUUAAACAGUACGUGAAAUUGUUAAAAGGGAAACGAUUGAAGUCAGUCGUGACUGAGAGGCUCAGCCGGUUCUGCCGGUGUAUUCCCCUCAGUCGGGUCAACAUCAGUUUUGUUCGGUGGAUAAGGGCAGUUGGAAGGUGGCACCCUCGGGUGUGUUAUAGCCAGCUGUCGCAUACAUCGGAUGAGACUGAGGAAUGCAGCUCGCCUUUAUGGCCGGGGUUCGCCCACGUUCGAGCUUAGGAUGUUGA